This 327-nucleotide ribosomal RNA is filed under the name Chlamydomyzium sp. RNAcentral's name for it is "partial large subunit ribosomal RNA". It matches the Rfam family "Eukaryotic large subunit ribosomal RNA", at positions 40 to 358 of the family's 3401-position model. Lineage: Eukaryota; Oomycota; Myzocytiopsidales; Myzocytiopsidaceae. The record is from RNAcentral.
AUAUUAGUAAGCGGAGGAAAAGAAACUAACAAGGAUUCCCCUAGUAACGGCGAGUGAAGCGGGAAAAGCUCAAGCUUAAAAUCUCUGUGGCAUUCUGCCAUGGCGAAUUGUAGUCUAUUGAAGCAGUUGUCAGCAUCGUCGUCUGGGUUAAGUCCCUUGGAAGAGGGCAGCAUAGAGGGUGAUACUCCCGUCUGUCCCUGGAUGAUGUGUGCGUACGACACGCUUUCUUUGAGUCGAGUUGCUUGGGAUUGCAGCUCAAAGUAGGUGGUAAAUUCCAUCUAAAGCUAAAUAUAAGUGUGAGACCGAUAGCGAACAAGUACCGUGAGG